This 1930-nucleotide ribosomal RNA is filed under the name Alyxoria ochrocheila. RNAcentral's name for it is "partial large subunit ribosomal RNA". It matches the Rfam family "Eukaryotic large subunit ribosomal RNA", at positions 72 to 1444 of the family's 3401-position model. The record is from RNAcentral. Lineage: Eukaryota; Fungi; Ascomycota; Arthoniomycetes; Arthoniales; Lecanographaceae.
GGAUUGCCCCAGUAACGGCGAGUGAAGCGGCAAAGGCCCAAAUUUGAAAUCGCGCCCCUUUGGGGAUCGAGUUGUAAUUUGCAGAGGGUGCUUCGGCGUUGGCGCCGGGCCAAGUCCCUUGGAACAGGGCGCCUGAGAGGGUGAGAGCCCCGUUUCCGCCCGGGUCGCCUCCGCCGCCAGAAGCCCCUUCGACGAGUCGGGCUGUUUGGGAAUGCAGCUCCAAGCGGGAGGUAAAUUCCUUCUAAGGCUAAACACCGGCCGGAGACCGAUAGCGAACAAGUAGAGUGAUCGAAAGAUGAAAAGCACUUUGGAAAGAGAGUCAAACAGCACGUGAAAUUGUUGAAAGGGAAGCUCUUGCCGCCAGACCGGCCGCGGUCGUCGCAUCCACGCCCCUGUGUGUGGUGUACCCGUCCGCGGCAGGCCAGCGCCGGUUCGGGCGGUCGGACAAAGGCUCCAGGAAUGUGGCCCCGCUCGCGGGGUGUUAUAGCCUGGGGUGCAAUGCGGCCAGCCCGGACCGAGGCACGCGUUCGCUAGGGCGCUGGCGUAAUGGCCGCAAGCGACCCGUCUUGAAACACGGACCAAGGAGUCUAACGUCUGCGCGAGUGUUUGGGCGGAUAAACCCAUGCGCGUAAUGAAAGUGAACGGAGGUGGGAACCCCCCAAAAAGGGGCGCACCAUCGACCGAUCCUGAUGUCUUCGGAUGGAUUUGAGUAAGAGCGUAGCCGUUACGACCCGAAAGAUGGUGAACUAUGCAUGGAUAGGGUGAAGCCAGAGGAAACUCUGGUGGAGGCUCGCAGCGGUUCUGACGUGCAAAUCGAUCGUCAAAUCUGUGUAUAGGGGCGAAAGACCAAUCGAACCAUUGACCAGGGGUUAUCUUGUAGCGAGCGUCGCGGGAUGCCAAUAGCGGCGAGCGUUGCUUCAAGUUAGCUUCACCUGCUACUAGGUGGUUAAGAGAGUAAAAUAGACCUAGUGGGUAUAAAUUGCUCUAGGAAGUAGGGGACCCCUCUACAGUCCACGUAGCCAAUAUGCGGGGACAUCCUCCAAUGGCAGCGUAGUACCGCGGCUGUAUAAUACGGUGCAGCACCGGCCUAUACUAUAGGUCGGGGAUGGUCAAAACCUACGACAUGCCUAUUGUAGAGGACGAUCCGCAGGCGCUCGCGCCUGACAGGAAGGCAAUGAGCGGUUCACGGACUAGAAGGCUACGGGCGUCGAAACAAACCGGCGUCCAAGAUAUAGUCGGAAGGCCCUUGUAACGGGGGGUAGUCAAUCAUUGACGUGGCAAGGGAAAANCACCAGUUGCUAGUAGCUGGUUCCUGCCGAAGUUUCCCUCAGGAUAGCAGUAACGCCUCCAGUUUUAUGAGGUAAAGCGAAUGAUUAGAGGCCUUGGGGUUGAAACAACCUUAACCUAUUCUCAAACUUUAAAUAUGUAAGAAGCCCUUGUUGCUUAGGUGAACGUGGGCCUUCGAAUGUACCGUUACUAGUGGGCCAUUUUUGGUAAGCAGAACUGGCGAUGCGGGAUGAACCGAAAGCGGGGUUAAGGUGCCGGAGUGGACGCUCAUCAGACACCACAAAAGGUGUUGGUUCAUCUUGACAGCCGGUAAGUGACCUAAGGAAACCCUCCUACAAGACACCACGGAGAAGAAAGCUAAUGCGCUCCUUUUAGGACGGUGGCCAUGGAAGUCGGAACCCGCUAAGGAUCGUGUAACAACUCAGUAAGUCACCGGCUAUAAAGAUCCGUACAACCUUUGUACAGCAUGCUAACGAGGAAACCCUGCAGCCGGCCGAAUGAACCAGCCCUGAAAAUGGAUGGCGCUCAAGCGUCCCACCCACACCCCGCCGCCGGGGCGGAAGCGAAGCCCCGGCGAGUAGGCAGGCGCGGGGGUCCGGUGACGAAGCUCANGGGGUGACCCCGGGCGGAACGGCCCCUGGUG